Cinclus cinclus is the source of this 1311-nucleotide long non-coding RNA. RefSeq lists it as uncharacterized. The record is from RefSeq and is a predicted model, not a curated record. The transcript has 2 exons. NCBI's taxonomy places the organism in Eukaryota, Metazoa, Chordata, Aves, Passeriformes, Cinclidae.
UAAGAAACAGAAGUCCCUUUUUGUUCACUGUCCGUAUAAGGUUAAGAACAAUGUAAAUCAGUAACUGCAGCUAUGCUUAAAGAAACGGUUUGCGUAAGUGAAACUAGUUAUAAAGAACAAAUAGUGUUGCAAUCAAUACUUAUAAGGUUGCGUAAGAACUUUUUGCAGCCCAAGUCAAGAAGAGGAUACUGAGGAAGACUCGUGAGGGCCUUUAUCAACGACCACCAGAAGGUAGAAAACGAACCCCUAUCAACUGCCGGAGCAUGCGCAAUAAGCACCAAGAGGAUGACUCAACAAGAAGAGCGGGUGCUUAAAAAGAGAACUGAAAACCCCGGUCGGCGCGGCAGUUGGUGGAGCGGUGACUCCCCUGUUGCCCAGCGCUGCAUUUUGCUUUUCUUUCUAAUAAAUUGCUAUUUUAAUUGGCUAAAAUGGCCCGUUGUGCUCAUUGAUAACAAUUUGGUGCCGUGACUCGGAUCGGUGAUAGGGGUGAUUUUCUACCCGUGAGGGGGGCGCCCCACCAUUUUGGUGGCCCUCGGGGUUAGGAGGUCGCCCUACUCCCGACCGACGAACCUAAAAUUAAGGAAAGGAAAGCAAAGGGAAUUGAGGGCCCAGGGAACCCCUUAAAAGCUUUGUGCACAAGGUCCGGACGAAGACGCAGGACGCGUGCAGCCGGGAGAUUGGGUCCUGGUCCGGAGCUGGAAAGAGAACCCGUUAACCCCGAAGUGGGAGAGACCGUAUUUAGUACUACUCACCACUGAUACGGCAGUACGAACAGCAGAGAAAGGAUGGACUCAUGCUAGUCGAAUAAAAGGACCCAUAAAUCCAUCAGAAUUCUCCAAAAACAAGGAUCCUCAGUGGAAUAUCAAAGGAACACCUGGAGAUUUGAAGUUUACUUUAACAAGGACUUUAUCCUAAAUGGACGCUGGGGACAUUUGGGUAGGGGAUAAUUGAGUGUUGCAGAAAGAACUGAUUGGAACUUCAGAACCACCUGGAUAUUGUGAAUAUUUAGAAAAACUUACCCAACAACCCUACUAUUGAGAAAUAAGAUUAAUAAAUAAAGAUAAGUUAUAUAAUGGGGAAGAAAAUGUUGAUCACAAUAAUAUAAGAAUAGUUUGUAGUUGGUUAGAUUGUAAUUGUUAUCCAUUUAUAUGUUUUUGUUGUAAAAUCUGUAAAGAGUUGUGGUGGGUUCAUUGCCGAAGAGGGCGGGCUCCUAGAAGUGUGUGUCAACCCUGUUGGGGGGAACAGCGCGAGCUGACUGCCCUGGCCCUAAGUCAGAAAGUAGCAGCUCGAGAGCUUAAAGUGGGAUCCCCA